UACGUAGGGUGCAAGCGUUAAUCGGAAUUACUGGGCGUAAAGCGUGCGCAGGCGGUUCGGAAAGAGAGAUGUGAAAUCCCAGGGCUUAACCUUGGAACUGCAUUUUUAACUACCGAGCUAGAGUGUGUCAGAGGGAGGUGGAAUUCCGCGUGUAGCAGUGAAAUGCGUAGAUAUGCGGAGGAACACCGAUGGCGAAGGCAGCCUCCUGGGAUAACACUGACGCUCAUGCACGAAAGCGUGGGGAGCAAACAGG
This 253-nucleotide ribosomal RNA is filed under the name uncultured bacterium. RNAcentral describes it as "partial 16S ribosomal RNA". It matches the Rfam family "Bacterial small subunit ribosomal RNA", at positions 524 to 776 of the family's 1533-position model. The record is from RNAcentral.